UGGGGAAUAUUGCACAAUGGGCGCAAGCCUGAUGCAGCCAUGCCGCGUGUAUGAAGAAGGCCUUCGGGUUGUAAAGUACUUUCAGUCGGGAGGAAGGUGUCAAGGUUAAUAACCUUGGCAAUUGACGUUACCGACAGAAGAAGCACCGGCUAACUCCGUGCCAGCAGCCGCGGUAAUACGGAGGGUGCAAGCGUUAAUCGGAAUUACUGGGCGUAAAGCGCACGCAGGCGGUUGAUUGAGUCAGAUGUGAAAUCCCCGGGCUUAACCCGAGAAUUGCAUCUGAUACUGGUCAGCUAGAGUCUUGUAGAGGGGGGUAGAAUUCCAUGUGUAGCGGUGAAAUGCGUAGAGAUGUGGAGGAAUACCGGUGGCGAAGGCGGCCCCCUGGACAAAGACUGACGCUCAGGUGCGAAAGCGUGGGGAGCAAACAGG
This 429-nucleotide ribosomal RNA is filed under the name Chloroflexota bacterium. RNAcentral describes it as "Chloroflexi bacterium partial 16S ribosomal RNA". It matches the Rfam family "Bacterial small subunit ribosomal RNA", at positions 355 to 776 of the family's 1533-position model. The record is from RNAcentral. Lineage: Bacteria; Bacillati; Chloroflexota.